Molecule: ribosomal RNA, 1098 nt
Filed under: Segatella copri
Lineage: Bacteria; Pseudomonadati; Bacteroidota; Bacteroidia; Bacteroidales; Prevotellaceae
Description: partial 23S ribosomal RNA
Rfam family: Bacterial large subunit ribosomal RNA
Source: RNAcentral
GCAGGAGAAGUGUUGUUAAGGAACUCGGCAAAAUGACUCCGUAACUUCGGGAGAAGGAGUGCUGCGCAAGCAGCCGCAGAGAAUAGGCUCAAGCAACUGUUUAGCAAAAACACAGGUCUAUGCAAAACCGAAAGGUGAGGUAUAUGGGCUGACGCCUGCCCGGUGCUGGAAGGUUAAGGGGAGAGGUUAGCGUAAGCGAAGCUUUGAACUUAAGCCCCAGUAAACGGCGGCCGUAACUAUAACGGUCCUAAGGUAGCGAAAUUCCUUGUCGGGUAAGUUCCGACCCGCACGAAAGGCGUAAUGAUUUGGGCACUGUCUCAACAAUGCACCCGGUGAAAUUGAAAUACCAGUGAAGAUGCUGGUUACCUGCGCCAGGACGGAAAGACCCCAUGGAGCUUUACUCCAGCUUGAUACUGGGAUUCGAUAUUGCAUGUACAGGAUAGGUGGGAGACUGAGAACUGAUGACGCCAGUUGUCAGGGAGUCACUGUUGGGAUACCACCCUUGCAGUAUUGGGUUUCUAACCAGCAGCCGUGAACCGGCUGGGGGACAAUGCCAGGCGGGGAGUUUGACUGGGGCGGUCGCCUCCGAAAGGGUAUCGGAGGCGCCCAAAGGUUCCCUCAGAAUGGACGGAAACCAUUCGAAGAGUGCAAAGGCAGAAGGGAGCUUGACUGCGACACCGACGGGUGGAGCAGGUACGAAAGUAGGGCUUAGUGAUCCGGUGGUAUUAAGUGGGAAUGCCAUCGCUCAACGGAUAAAAGCUACCCUGGGGAUAACAGGCUUAUCACUCCCAAGAGUUCACAUCGACGGAGUGGUUUGGCACCUCGAUGUCGGCUCAUCGCAUCCUGGAGCUGUAGCAGGUUCCAAGGGUUGGGCUGUUCGCCCAUUAAAGCGGUACGCGAGCUGGGUUCAGAACGUCGUGAGACAGUUCGGUCCCUAUCCGGCGCGGGCGUAGGAUAUUUGAGAGGAGCUGUCCUUAGUACGAGAGGACCGGGAUGGACUGGCCGCUGGUGUAUCUGUUGUCUUACCAAAGGCAUAGCAGAGUAGCCAAGCCGGGAAGGGAUAAACGCUGAAGGCAUCUAAGCGUGAAGCCCCCCUCA